GAUGAACGCUAGCUACAGGCUUAACACAUGCAAGUCGAGGGGAAACGACAUCGAAAGCUUGCUUUUGAUGGGCGUCGACCGGCGCACGGGUGAGUAACGCGUAUCCAACCUGCCCACCACUUGGGGAUAACCUUGCGAAAGUAAGACUAAUACCCAAUGAUAUCUCUAGAAGACAUCUGAAAGAGAUUAAAGAUUUAUCGGUGAUGGAUGGGGAUGCGUCUGAUUAGCUUGUUGGCGGGGUAACGGCCCACCAAGGCAACGAUCAGUAGGGGUUCUGAGAGGAAGGUCCCCCACAUUGGAACUGGGACACGGUCCAAACUCAUACGGGAGGCAGCAGUGAGGAAUAUUGGUCAAUGGACGAGAGUCUGAACCAGCCAAGUAGCGUGCAGGAAGACGGCCCUAUGGGUUGUAAACUGCUUUUAGAAGGGAAUAAAGUGAGUCUCGGGAGACUUUUUGCAUGUACCUUAUGAAUGAGGACCGGCUAAUUACGUG
This 492-nucleotide ribosomal RNA is filed under the name uncultured bacterium. RNAcentral describes it as "partial 16S ribosomal RNA". It matches the Rfam family "Bacterial small subunit ribosomal RNA", at positions 28 to 507 of the family's 1533-position model. The record is from RNAcentral.